This 293-nucleotide ribosomal RNA is filed under the name uncultured microorganism. RNAcentral describes it as "partial 16S ribosomal RNA". It matches the Rfam family "Bacterial small subunit ribosomal RNA", at positions 505 to 796 of the family's 1533-position model. The record is from RNAcentral.
GUGCCAGCAGCCCGCGGUAAUACGUAGGUGGCAAGCGUUGUCCGGAUUUAUUGGGCGUAAAGCGAGCGCAGGCGGUUCCUUAAGUCUGAUGUGAAAGCCCCCGGCUCAACCGGGGAGGGUCAUUGGAAACUGGGGAACUUGAGUGCAGAAGAGGAGAGUGGAAUUCCAUGUGUAGCGGUGAAAUGCGUAGAUAUAUGGAGGAACACCAGUGGCGAAGGCGACUCUCUGGUCUGUAACUGACGCUGAGGCUCGAAAGCGUGGGUAGCAAACAGGAUUAGAUACCCUGGUAGUCC